RNAcentral lists this ribosomal RNA (406 nucleotides) under uncultured bacterium. RNAcentral's name for it is "partial 16S ribosomal RNA". It matches the Rfam family "Bacterial small subunit ribosomal RNA", at positions 29 to 526 of the family's 1533-position model. The record is from RNAcentral.
AUUGAACGCUGGCGGCAGGCCUAACACAUGCAAGUCGAACGAGUGGCGGACGGGUGAGUAAUGUCUGGGAAACUGCCUGAUGGAGGGGGAAACCUACUGGAAACGGUAGCUAAUACCGCUUACCAUCAAAUGUGCCCAGAGGGGAUUAGCUAGUCGGUGGGGUAAAGGCCCCCCAAGGCGACGAACCCUAGCUGGUCUGAGAGGAUUACCGGCGACACUGGAACUGAGACACGGUCCAGACUCCUACGGGAGGCAGCAGUGGGGAAUAUUGCACAAUGGGCGCAAGCCGGAUGCAGCCAUGCCGCGUGUAUGAAGAAGGCCUUCGGGUUGUAAAGUACUUGCAGCGGGGAGGCGUUACCCGCAGAAGAAGCACCGGCUAACUCCGUGCCAGCAGCCGCGGUAAUAC